RNAcentral lists this ribosomal RNA (209 nucleotides) under uncultured bacterium. RNAcentral's name for it is "partial 16S ribosomal RNA". It matches the Rfam family "Bacterial small subunit ribosomal RNA", at positions 1293 to 1500 of the family's 1533-position model. The record is from RNAcentral.
UCGGAUUGCAGGCUGCAACCCGCCCUGCAUGAAGUUGGAAUCACUAGUAAUCGCGGAUCAGCAUGCCGCGGUGAAUGCGUUCUCGGGCCUUGUACACACCGCCCGUCACACCAUGAGAGUCGGGAACACCCGAAGUCCGUAGCCUAACCGCAAGGGGGGCGCGGCCGAAGGUGGGCUCGAUAAUUGGGGUGAAGUCGUAACAAGGUACC